AUUAUAGAUGAUGAUGAGAUGGUCCACUUUAUUCUGAAUGGUCUUAACUUUGACUAUAAUCCCUUUGUGUCGUCUAUGCUCGGUCGUGUUGACUUUCUCUCCUUGAGUGACUUGUAUUCUCAGUUACUCACAUAUGAUC
Molecule: small nucleolar RNA, 139 nt
Filed under: Setaria italica (foxtail millet)
Lineage: Eukaryota; Viridiplantae; Streptophyta; Magnoliopsida; Poales; Poaceae
Description: Small nucleolar RNA Z247
Rfam family: Small nucleolar RNA Z247
About the family: Z247 is a member of the C/D class of snoRNA which contain the C (UGAUGA) and D (CUGA) box motifs. Most of the members of the box C/D family function in directing site-specific 2'-O-methylation of substrate RNAs.
Source: Rfam by way of RNAcentral